RNAcentral lists this ribosomal RNA (1158 nucleotides) under Aeromonas caviae. RNAcentral's name for it is "partial 23S ribosomal RNA". It matches the Rfam family "Bacterial large subunit ribosomal RNA", at positions 1 to 1211 of the family's 2925-position model. The record is from RNAcentral. RNAcentral also lists the same sequence under 2 other names. Lineage: Bacteria; Pseudomonadati; Pseudomonadota; Gammaproteobacteria; Aeromonadales; Aeromonadaceae.
GGUUAAGUGACUAAGCGUACAUGGUGGAUGCCUUGGCAGUCAGAGGCGAUGAAGGACGUACUAACCUGCGAUAAGCCGUGAGCAGUCGGUAAGAGACAUUACGACUCACGGAUUUCCGAAUGGGGAAACCCACUUAGCAUAAGCUAGGUAUCGCUGCGUGAAUACAUAGCGUAGCGAGGCGAACCGGGAGAACUGAAACAUCUAAGUACCCCGAGGAAAAGAAAUCAACCGAGAUUCCCUCAGUAGCGGCGAGCGAACGGGGAUUAGCCCUUAAGCAUCUUGGAAGUUAGUGGAACGGUCCUGGAAAGGCCGGCGAUACAGGGUGAUAGCCCCGUACACGAAAACAACCUUGAUGUGAAAUCGAGUAGGGCGGGACACGUGACAUCCUGUCUGAAUAUGGGGGGACCAUCCUCCAAGGCUAAAUACUCCUGACUGACCGAUAGUGAACCAGUACCGUGAGGGAAAGGCGAAAAGAACCCCUGUGAGGGGAGUGAAAUAGAACCUGAAACCGUGUACGUACAAGCAGUGGGAGCCCUUCGGGGUGACUGCGUACCUUUUGUAUAAUGGGUCAGCGACUUACAUUUUGUAGCGAGGUUAACCGUAUAGGGGAGCCGUAGGGAAACCGAGUCUUAACUGGGCGUCUAGUUGCAAGGUGUAGACCCGAAACCGGGUGAUCUAGCCAUGGGCAGGUUGAAGGUUGAGUAACAUCAACUGGAGGACCGAACCCACUAACGUUGCAAAGUUAGGGGAUGACCUGUGGCUGGGGGUGAAAGGCCAAUCAAACUCGGAGAUAGCUGGUUCUCCCCGAAAGCUAUUUAGGUAGCGCCUCGGACGAAUACUACUGGGGGUAGAGCACUGUUUGGGCUAGGGGGUCAUCCCGACUUACCAACCCCAUGCAAACUCCGAAUACCAGUAAGUAAUAUCCGGGAGACACACGGCGGGUGCUAACGUCCGUCGUGAAGAGGGAAACAACCCAGACCGCCGGCUAAGGUCCCAAAGUUCUGGUUAAGUGGGAAACGAUGUGGGAAGGCUCAGACAGCUAGGAUGUUGGCUUAGAAGCAGCCAUCAUUUAAAGAAAGCGUAAUAGCUCACUAGUCGAGUCGGCCUGCGCGGAAGAUGUAACGGGGCUCAAACCAGGCACCGAAGCCGCGGAUUCAC